This 498-nucleotide ribosomal RNA is filed under the name uncultured bacterium. RNAcentral describes it as "partial 16S ribosomal RNA". It matches the Rfam family "Bacterial small subunit ribosomal RNA", at positions 30 to 523 of the family's 1533-position model. The record is from RNAcentral.
AUUGAACGCUGGCGGCAUGCUUUACACAUGCAAGUCGAACGGUAACAGGCCGCAAGGUGCUGACGAGUGGCGAACGGGUGAGUAAUGCAUCGGAACGUGCCCAGUCGUGGGGGAUAACCAUCCGAAAGGAUAGCUAAUACCGCAUACGAUCUGCGGAUGAAAGCGGGGGACCUUCGGGCCUCGCGCGAUUGGAGCGGCCGAUGUCAGAUUAGGUAGUUGGUGGGGUAAAGGCUCACCGAGCCAACGAUCUGUAGCUGGUCUGAGAGGACGACCGGCCACACUGGGACUGAGACACGGCCCAGACUCCUACGGGAGGCAGCAGUGGGGAAUUUUGGACAAUGGGCGCAAGCCUGAUCCAGCAAUGCCGCGUGCAGGAAGAAGGCCUUCGGGUUGUAAACUGCUUUUGUACGGAACGAAACGGCUCUGGUUAAUACCUGGGGCUAAUGACGGUACCGUAAGAAUAAGCACCGGCUAACUACGUGCCAGCCGCCGCCGUAA